Molecule: transfer RNA, 73 nt
Filed under: Vacuolonema iberomarrocanum LEGE 07170
Lineage: Bacteria; Bacillati; Cyanobacteriota; Cyanophyceae; Oculatellales; Oculatellaceae
Description: filamentous cyanobacterium LEGE 07170 tRNA
Rfam family: tRNA
About the family: Transfer RNA (tRNA) molecules are approximately 80 nucleotides in length. Their secondary structure includes four short double-helical elements and three loops (D, anti-codon, and T loops).
Source: Rfam by way of RNAcentral
GCUGGUGUAGCUCAAUAGGAAGAGCGACUGUCUUGUAAACAGUCGGUUGCAGGUUCAACUCCUGUCACCAGCU